UACGGAGGGUGCAAGCGUUAUCCGGAUUCACUGGGUUUAAAGGGUGCGUAGGCGGCCCUAUAAGUCAGUGGUGAAAUACUGCAGCUUAACUGUAGCAUUGCCAUUGAUACUGUAGGGCUUGAGUACAGAUGAGGUAGGCGGAAUUGAUGGUGUAGCGGUGAAAUGCAUAGAUACCAUCAAGAACACCGAUUGCGAAGGCAGCUUACUAAACUGUAACUGACGCUGAGGCACGAAAGCGUGGGGAUCGAACAGG
RNAcentral lists this ribosomal RNA (253 nucleotides) under uncultured bacterium. Its description in RNAcentral is "partial 16S ribosomal RNA". It matches the Rfam family "Bacterial small subunit ribosomal RNA", at positions 524 to 776 of the family's 1533-position model. The record is from RNAcentral.